GUAAAUAGAGUCACAUAUUUUUCAACAGAGUUUCGAAGCUUGAUUCUGAUACUUCAAAUUCAGAACAGUUUUGUUUCCCUUUAAUGGUUAUUCUGAGUGAUUGACUUGAUUAAUAUCAAGGUUAAUGUCUUUUGAGUCUGCACACUAGAAUAACCAUUAGUAAACCAUGUUGUUCUUUAAAUACUUUGUUAUCAUCAACAAAAAUUAGGAGCUUGAACAAAUCUUCUUCUAACAAUCUCCCCAUUUUUUAUGAUGACAAACAAAUGUAUUGUAAACUUACGAAAGUAUAAAAAAAAUAAACAACAAAAAUAUAAACUUAUAAAUAUAAACUUUAAGCUUAUUACUCAUAAGCUAUUAUGGCAUGCACAAAUUUGUUCAGAUGCUUUUCUCUUCUUAAAUACUCUAUAUAUUUUCUCUCCCUUAAUCAUUAUCAAAAAUAUUUUAAACGAAAGAGAAAAACAAUAAAACUGAAAUAAUUUUAAAAGGGUUUAAAUGCAUAAAAUUUUAAAGGAACACAAAAGAAUUUGAAAGAAAUAAAAUAGUCAAAAGAUUAAAACAUUUUUCAAAAGAAGAGGACAAUUGAAAAAAAAAUUGAAGUCUGAUACAAACAUAUGGUUUAAACAAAUUGAUACCAAGUCAAAAAAUAAAAACAUUUUAACCAAAAAGAUCCAAUACUUUUAAUGAUAAAUCACUAUUGUUUCAGUUUCCAAGAAGUAAUUAUGAAUUAGUAUGACAUACUUAAUUAGUUUUUGGCCUUUAGAUUUUCACGGAAAAGAAACUUAAACCUACAAGAUAUUUUGAUUUUUAGAAAUUUUGUAAAAAACACACAAGUUCAUGCCAUAAAACAAACCUCAUUCACUCAACCAUAUAUUUGUUUUAAUAUAAUUAAGCUUCUCUUUCCACCUCUAAAUUAGUUGUACAAAAUUCAUAUCUAUUCCAUGUCAAAAUCUUCAAUUUUUCUUCAAUUGUCCAAAUUAUCCAAAUCCAGUAAGAACUCUUAAAAUUUCCACAAAUCCAUGAAAACCCAAUUUUUUUUUUAAAUGUAAGAAAUCAAAAGGGAUAUUAUGGUAAAAGAAUACCAUUUAGGUGAGGGUUCCAGGUUAAAUUUGAGGGAUAAAAUGAUAAAAUCUCUCGGUCUUCAUUGGUAGUUUUUAUGUUUGGAAGUUUGAGUCAUCGCUAAUUUAUGGAUAAAAGUGACAACUUUAAUAAAGUUUCAAACAUCUUACCCAUGAUCUAGCCAUGAGUAACUAUCCAAGUAUGUAGAAUCUCUAAUUACUUAGGACUACACCUUUGAUAAUCAAAUAAUUUUCCAAAAUAUUUCCACUUUCAUUUUAAUUAACAUCAAGUUCAUAUUAUAUAAUUUUAAAAUUAAAAAAAAAUAUAUUUAUCAUAUUUUAGUUGCUACACUAUAGUAAUCCCCAAUUUUUAUUCCCUCCCAUAAAUUUAUAAUUCCCCGCGAUAUCUUAAAAAUCCUUAGAAAUAGUCACUUAUUCACUUUUCUUCUUCCAUAACUAAAAAAAAACUUGAAGAUGGUUUUUCUUUCUAUUUUUAACUGUCAAACCAUCACACUCUUCAAUCCCCAGACUACGAGACAAUUUAUACAACUAAAGUUAUAUAAUCAUAUAACACCUCAUUUUUGUUGGAUUCUAUUAUCCCUUCAAUCCCAUCAUAUUCGUCGAUUAUGCAUCAUACCAAAAUAUAAUAAACAAGUGUGUAAUAUACAAGGAAAAUAAAUACAAGUAUGUAAUAUAUAGAAAGAUAAAAUAAAAUAAAGUAUUUAAUCAUCAUUAUUUAUAUCAAUGGUUAUUAUAUAUAGAGCACAAAAUAUAAUUAAUCAUAUAUUCAUUUUAUAUUAUAACAAUGUAUACUCUGACCGUUGUAAAAUAUAACGUUACAUAUUACAAUCGUCAAAGUAUACAACACUUGUAAUACUCUGAGUUAAUUCUUUUUUUAUUAAUUCAAAUAUGCAUUAAUAAAAAACUUUUCCCGAUACUUUAAGGAAUUAUAGAUCAACUUGAAC
Molecule: long non-coding RNA, 2020 nt
Filed under: Lathyrus oleraceus (garden pea)
Lineage: Eukaryota; Viridiplantae; Streptophyta; Magnoliopsida; Fabales; Fabaceae
Description: Pisum sativum (pea) long non-coding RNA (PSAT_LNC020346)
Source: RNAcentral